UACGGAGGGUGCGAGCGUUAAUCGGAAUUACUGGGCGUAAAGCGCACGUAGGUGGUUGUGUAAGUCGGAUGUGAACGCCCUGGGCUUAACCUGGGAACUGCAUUCGAUACUGCCCGGCUAGAGUAUGGGAGAGGGAGGCGGAAUUUCCGGUGUAGCGGUGAAAUGCGUAGAUAUCAGAAGGAACAUCAGUGGCGAAAGCGGCUUCCUGGUCCAGUACCGACGUUCAGGCACGAAAGCGUGGGGAGCAAACAGG
Molecule: ribosomal RNA, 253 nt
Filed under: uncultured bacterium
Lineage: Bacteria
Description: partial 16S ribosomal RNA
Rfam family: Bacterial small subunit ribosomal RNA
Source: RNAcentral